Molecule: long non-coding RNA, 272 nt
Organism: Aethalodelphis obliquidens (Pacific white-sided dolphin)
Lineage: Eukaryota; Metazoa; Chordata; Mammalia; Artiodactyla; Delphinidae
Exons: 2
Source: RefSeq, a predicted model, not a curated record
UGUAAGUAGAACACACAGCGCCGCACCCAUCAUAGCGUGCCUUAAGCCUCCUCCUUUCCCUUCCUCUCUUUGCGGGUCAUUUAUGAUCCAGACGGAGUGACUGUACUGAUGGGAACACUGCGGACACAUUCUGGUUGCGCGAUGUGCCUGCCUGGAGUGUGCCCUAAAGGAUAACACGUAUCAGCAAUCCUCCUCUUGGCCCAUUGGAGUGGGAAUAGCUGCUGUUUUCCUUCCAGAUGUUCCUGAAGAGCCAAAAGGGCUCUUCGAAGUAA